This 253-nucleotide ribosomal RNA is filed under the name uncultured bacterium. Its description in RNAcentral is "partial 16S ribosomal RNA". It matches the Rfam family "Bacterial small subunit ribosomal RNA", at positions 524 to 776 of the family's 1533-position model. The record is from RNAcentral.
UACAGAGGUCCCGAGCGUUGUUCGGAAUUACUGGGCGUAAAGGGUGCGUAGGCGGUGGGGUAAGUUUGAGGUGAAAGCUCCGGGCUCAACCCGGAAACUGCCUUGAAAACUAUCCGGCUAGAGGGUUGGAGGGGAGACUGGAAUUCUCGGUGUAGCAGUGAAAUGCGUAGAUCUCGAGAGGAACACCAGUGGCGAAGGCGGGUCUCUGGACAACACCUGACGCUGAGGCACGAAAGCCAGGGGAGCAAACGGG